RNAcentral lists this ribosomal RNA (857 nucleotides) under uncultured bacterium. RNAcentral's name for it is "bacterial SSU rRNA". It matches the Rfam family "Bacterial small subunit ribosomal RNA", at positions 56 to 936 of the family's 1533-position model. The record is from RNAcentral.
AGCAAGUCRGAGCGGUAAGGCCCUUCGGGGUACACGAGCGGCGGACGGCUGAGUAACACGUAGGAACGUACCCCAAACUGAGGGAUAAGCACCAGAAAUGGUGUCUAAUACCGCAUGUGAUCUUCGGAUUAAAGCUUCGGCGGUUUGGGAACGGCCUGCGCAUGAUUAGCUUGUUGGUGAGGUAAUUGCUCACCAAGGCGACGAUCAUUAGCUGGUCUGAGAGGAUGACCAGCCAGACUGGAACUGAGAACGGUCCAGACUCCUACGGGAGGCAGCAGUAGGGAAUUUUCCACAAUGGGCGAAAGCCUGAUGGAGCAACGCCGCGUGCAGGAUGAAUGUCUUCGGAUUGUAAACUGCUUUUAUAUGUGACGAUAAUGACGGUAGCAUAUGAAUAAGGAUCGGCUAACUCCGUGCCAGCAGCCGCGGUCAUACGGAGGAUCCAAGCGUUAUCCGGAAUUACUGGGCGUAAAGAGUUGCGUAGGUGGCAUAGUAAGCGAGUAGUGAAAGCGUUCGGCUCAACCGGAUAAACAUUACUUGAACUGCUAAGCUCGAGGAUGAGAGAGGUUAUUGGAAUUCCCAGUGUASGAGUGAAAUCCGUAGAUAUUGGGAGGAACACCCGAUGGCGUAGGCAGAUAACUGGCUCAUUCCUGACACUAAGGCACGAAARGCGUGGGUAGCAAACGGGAUUAGAUACCCCCGGGUAGUCCACGCCCGUAGCCUAUGGAUGCUAGCUGUUAUCGGUAUCGACCCCGGUAGUAGCGAAGCCUAAMGGCGUUAAGGCAUCCCGCCCUGUGGAGUACCGGUCGCAAGACCUAAAAACAUAAAGGAAUUUGACCGGGGACCCCGYMMMAGCCGGU